Molecule: transfer RNA, 73 nt
Filed under: Propionibacteriaceae bacterium
Lineage: Bacteria; Bacillati; Actinomycetota; Actinomycetes; Propionibacteriales; Propionibacteriaceae
Description: tRNA-Thr
Rfam family: tRNA
About the family: Transfer RNA (tRNA) molecules are approximately 80 nucleotides in length. Their secondary structure includes four short double-helical elements and three loops (D, anti-codon, and T loops). Further hydrogen bonds mediate the characteristic L-shaped molecular structure. tRNAs have two regions of fundamental functional importance: the anti-codon, which is responsible for specific mRNA codon recognition, and the 3' end, to which the tRNAs corresponding amino acid is attached (by aminoacyl-tRNA synthetases). tRNAs cope with the degeneracy of the genetic code in two manners: having more than one tRNA (with a specific anti-codon) for a particular amino acid; and 'wobble' base-pairing, i.e. permitting non-standard base-pairing at the 3rd anti-codon position.
Source: RNAcentral
GCCACCAUAGCUCAGUCGGUAGAGCGGCUCACUCGUAAUGAGCAGGUCAUCGGUUCGAUUCCGAUUGGUGGCU